Molecule: non-coding RNA, 138 nt
Organism: Arxiozyma heterogenica
Lineage: Eukaryota; Fungi; Ascomycota; Saccharomycetes; Saccharomycetales; Saccharomycetaceae
Source: the annotation of a RefSeq genome assembly
GCUCGUGUAGCUCAGUGGUUAGAGCUUCGUGCUUAUAGUGAUUCUGUCUGCCGCGUGGAAUUUCUAUGCCUAUGGGAGUUAGAGGUUCUCUCAUGAUAAGCGACGCGACCGUCGUGGGUUCAAUCCCCACCUCGAGCA